CAAAAACAUAGCUAAUAGAAAAAAUUAUUAUUAGUGAUGCCUGCUCAAUGAAAAUAGCCGCGGUAACACCUGACCGUGCAAAGGUAGCAUAAUAAAUAGCCUACUAAUUAUAGGAUAGAAUGAAGGUAAAACGAAGACCCAACUGUCUCAAGACCCUAAAUUUAAAAUAGAAUGUGUGUGUAAAUCCACACUAAAACGGCAAGACGAUUAGACCCUAAGAACUUUAAGCUCUAAGUUUCGUUGGGGCAACGAUCUUUAAAAAAGUAACUAAGAAAAUACCCAUUAACAAAUUAAUGAAAAAAAAUAAAAGUUCCUUAGGGAUAACAGCGUCAUAUCGUUCUUUAGAAAAUACCCAAACGAUGUUUGCGACC
This 371-nucleotide ribosomal RNA is filed under the name Hyalostylus microfloricomus. RNAcentral's name for it is "Hyalostylus sp. m DK-2018 partial 16S ribosomal RNA". It matches the Rfam family "Bacterial large subunit ribosomal RNA", at positions 1808 to 2525 of the family's 2925-position model. Lineage: Eukaryota; Metazoa; Porifera; Hexactinellida; Lyssacinosida; Euplectellidae. The record is from RNAcentral.